CUCCAAAAGAAAAGGGAAAUUGCAAAGCCCAUCUAGAGCCAGAGUGACAGCAUAUUUUUUUAUGAAUCAAGAAUCAACAUCGGGCUAUUUCCUAAGAUUAGACCAUGAAAGCCCACUUGGAGGCUGCACAGCUAUCUGCACACUUGAACCUGAAAAAUGGUCUUUUGCCAUCAGGGAGCUGAAUCAUCAGAAGUGAUUAGGUGACUGGAUAGAGAUUCUCUGUGAAAAUGACAUUUCGACUGGGACCUGAGGAUGAGUCAGAAGGAGUUUAUGAAGUGGCUCCUCCCUGCCAUUCAAAGUCAGAGAAAAGGAUAAAGUAAUGCCAUUUGCAGCAACAUGGAUGGACCUAGAGAUUAUCAUACUAAGUAAAAGACUAUUUUCUGAAUGAAAGGGUGGAGGUACCAGCAUCGUCUUGCAAUGUCAAGAGAUUAAGGAAAACUGGCAAUCAAUCACCAUCCUUUUUCAGAGGAAAAGAACACCCAAGAGUAGAAAGGAAAGUUCUGGGAGAAGUGAUUUUCAUCCAUCUACUUUGGAAUUUAGUCGAUUUCUGGAAGGAGUUGAACAGAGGAAGCAAGCAGAAGAUGAAAAGUUUAAAAACAGGAGAAUCUGCUUUGUGUGCAUUAAAUACCUCCGCAGGUCUUAUUGUUUUAGAAAGUUUUGAUGAAUUCGAAGAGCAGAAAAACAAAUUUAUUCUGGAAUAA
RNAcentral lists this long non-coding RNA (701 nucleotides) under Sus scrofa (pig). Its description in RNAcentral is "lncRNA (ENSSSCG00005021855.1)". Lineage: Eukaryota; Metazoa; Chordata; Mammalia; Artiodactyla; Suidae. The record is from RNAcentral.